UCGAGAAUUUUUCACAAUGGGCGAAAGCCUGAUGGAGCGACGCCGCGUGGGGGAUGAAUGGCUUCGGCCCGUAAACCCCUGUCAUUUGCGAUCAACCGUUGUUAUUUAAAAGAUGACAGCCUGAUAGUAGCGAAAGAGGAAGGGACGGCUAACUCUGUGCCAGCAGCCGCGGUAAUACAGAGGUCCCAAGCGUUGUUCGGAUUCACUGGGCGUAAAGGGUGCGUAGGUGGCGAGGUAAGUCGGAUGUGAAAGCUCGGAGCUCAACUCCGAAAUGGCAUUGGAAACUACCUUGCUCGAGGAUUGGAGGGGGGACUGGAAUACUUGGUGUAGCAGUGAAAUGCGUAGAUAUCAAGUGGAACACCAGUGGCGAAGGCGAGUCCCUGGACAACUCCUGACACUGAGGCACGAAAGCUAGGGGAGCAAACAG
RNAcentral lists this ribosomal RNA (427 nucleotides) under uncultured bacterium. Its description in RNAcentral is "bacterial SSU rRNA". It matches the Rfam family "Bacterial small subunit ribosomal RNA", at positions 355 to 775 of the family's 1533-position model. The record is from RNAcentral.